AUUUUUUGGGCCCAAAAAGUUAGAACUGACUGGUUACAGCUUGGAGAUAAGAACACUAAAUAUUUCCAAACAGUGGCCAAAUAAGAAGAAGAAGAAAUGAAAUUAAUAAAAUAAAAGAUAACCAAGGAAAUUGGUGGUGGGAGGGUGAUGGUUUGGAGAGAGUAUUUGUGGAUGAUUUUAAAAAUAGGUUAUCUGCUUCUAACAUGCCUUCCCCAGGAGUUUUUGAUAAAUUCAUUGAUAUUAUUGAUCCUUGUAUAAGUGCUGAGCAAAAUGGCAGGUUAAAUAGCCUUAUCAUUGAAAGUGAGGUGGUUGAUGCUGUUAAAAGCAUUGGUGCUUUGAAAGCACCAGGACCGGAUGAAAUUCAUGCUUCUUUUUAUCAAAACUGCUGGGAUCUUGUUUGUCCCUUGGUAGUUAAUUUAGUUAGGGACUUUUUCAACAAUGGUUCCAGUCUUAGACUGAUUAAUCAUACUAAAAUUGCUCUUAUCCCUAAAGUGGAGAACCCUGAGGUGGUUUCUAGCUUUAGACCGAUUAGCCUAUGUAGUGUCACAUUCAAAAUUAUUACUAAAAUAUUGGUGAGUAGAAUUAAGCCUUUAUUAAAUAGGUGCAUUUCCAAGAACCAGGGAGCUUUUGCUCAGGAAGAUCCAUUUAGGGCUCAUGAAGUGUUUUCCUCUUUUAAAGGUAAAAAUGGUGCAAUGGCUAUUAAACUAGGCCUUGAAAAGGCCUAUGAUUUCCUCAGUUGGAAUUAUAUUAAAGCUGUGCCUGUUAAAUUUGGUUUUAAUGAUCAUUGGAUCAAGCUUAUCAUGGAAUGUAUUACUUCGACAUCCUUCUGUAUCCUUAUGAGUGGUAAGUCUCAUGGUUAUUUUUGUCCUUCUAGAGCUAUUAGGCAAGGAGACCCUCUAUCUCCUUAUAUUUUUAUCCUUUGUAUGGAACCUUUGAUUAGACAUUUAGAUAAAAUUGGAGAAUCUUCUAAAGUAAUGUUGGCUUGUUGACUGCCCCUCGAGGUUUUAGAACUACAAAUAUGAUGUGUGCAGACAAUUGUCUAAUUUUUGCAAAACCACUAGUACUGCAGCCAAGAAUAUUGCUAAGAUGCUAGAUAAUUUCUCUCAUGCCUCAGGUCAAAAGAUAAAUUUUCAUAAGUCUUCUCUUUAUUUUUCAAAUAAUACGCUUAAACAUACCAAAAAUGAUAUUGUUAAUAUUCUAGUGAUCCAACAUAAAACCAUUAUUGGUAGGUACCUAGGCAUUCACAAUAUCAUUUUCUGGAAGGAUCAAGUUAAUGCAAAGGAGCUUAUAAUCAAGAUUAAAAAUAAACUUUCUGGUUGGAAGGCAAAUACCCUUUCUAAAGCUGGAAGGCUAACUCUUAUAAAAGCUAAUUUAUUAGGUGUCCCCAACCAUAGGGCUGGUUUGGUAUUGCUGUGCUUUGAAAAAAAGCUGCUGUGAGAAUAAGCGGUUGUGCUGUGAGAAUAAACGACUGUGAAAUAAAUCAACAGAGUGUUUGGUAAACUUUUUUGUAAAAGUGCUUUUGGAAAAGAAAAAAAAAAGUCUGAUAGUGGGUCUUUUCAUUAAAGGAGCACUGUAGCUCCGUGUGCUUUGAAAAGAAGCCAGUUUUCCAAAGCUGCAAAUAGCAGCUUCAUCUUUUUCCUUUGAUUUCAGCUUAUUCUCACAGCAGCUUCCAAAAUAAGCCCUUUUUUUUCAGUUUACCAAACACCUAAAACCCUCACAGCUUUUUUUCAUGGGUGCUUUUUUUUUAAGCACCUCACUCCCAAACCACCCCUAUGUCUUGUUUUAACUGUCCUGAGAGAAAGUUACAAAUGCUAUUGAUAGGGAAAGCAGGAAUUUUCAUGGGGUAAAGAUUGAAAGCUUGUCCUUGUGGCUUGGAAUAAAUCGUGUAGUUCUAAGGAAAAGGAAAAUGGGGGAUUAGGUAUUAGGAAAAGUGUUCAUUUUAAAUCAAUAAGUGUUCAUUUUAAAUCAAUCUCUCCUCUUUAAUGACUGGCUAAAUGCUCUAGCUGUCAAGAGUGAUGAAGGUUUAUGUGAUCUUAGCAAAGCUUUACUAAUUUGCUGGCAAAUUUGGAAAGAGAAGAAUCUGGUUGUGUUCCAAAUUUGGAAGAGACUUCAUCAUUGCCAACAGCAUGGUUCCUGAAGGUUGUCAUGGUAUGAGGUCUCCACCGCCCUCCUCUAUCCGGUUGUCCCCUCCAAAUCCUGGUUUUUGUUAAACUUAAUUUGAUGGCUCGGUGGUGAAUCAGGUGCUGCUGCUGGAUUUAUGAUUAGCAAUGAGAAAGGGAAGCCUAUUAUUGUGGGAGCUAGAUUUAUUGGUCAGAAUACUAUCUCUAUUGCGGAAUGUCUAGCUUUACGGGAUAGUUUGUGGAUGGCAAGGUCUAAGGUUUUGUCUCGUAUUGUGGUGGAUGGUGAUUUGAAGCUGGUGAUUGAGGCCAUCCAUGGAGCUUAUAACCCCCCUUGGAGAUGAGAAGUUAUCGGUAAUAGCCAAAAUUUAACACCUAAUUUCAUAAAUGUCACUUUUUCUAAAAUCUUUCAAAAAUAACAUAAAACCCACUUAAAUAGACUUAAAUACCCUCAAAAUUAAAACCAAAUAAAAUAAGGAUGUAGUUGGUAAUGUAAUGAAAAAAAAUCUGAAUUGUGGCCUCUUCUAACUACAUAGUUUUUCAAUGAGGAAAAAUAGUCAAUGGCAGACAAAUUGGGAUCUGAGGUUAGCAAUCCUUCUUAGGGCUGGUUUGGUAUUGCUGUGCUUUGAAAAAAAACUGCUGUGAGAAUAAGCGGCUGUGCUGUGAGAAUAAGCGGCUGUGAAAUAAAUCAGCAGAGUGUUUGGUAAACUUUUUUGUAAAAGUGCUUUUGGAAAAAAAAGCAGUCUAAUAGUAGGUCUUUUCAUUAAAGAAGCACUGUAGCUCCGUGUGCUUUGAAAAAAAGCCAGUUUUCCAAAGCUGCAAAUAGCAGCUUCAGCUUUUUCCUUUGAUUUCAGCUUAUUCUCACAGCAGCUUCCAAAAUAAACCAUUUUUUUUCAGUUUACCAAACACCUAAAACCCUCACAGCUUUUUUUCAUGGGUGCUUUUUUUUUAAGCACCUCACUCCCAAACUAGGUCUUAUAUACGCAUUUGAUAAGGAAGAUAACUUUUGGCAGCUGUACGGUGUUUUUCUACGUACCCAAUGCAGAUGAUUGCCCUAGUCUGCUUCUAGCUAGUGAGGUAGAUUAAUUUACAGAACAUAAAUAUUCAUUGUUUCAAAAUUUUCUUGUAAAAAAUUUGGAUAAUUUAUUCAUGCUUAUCUUUACUUCUGCUCCAUAUAUGUUAUAGGUGGAGCUUUCAGAACUGCAGGAUCCCAAUCUUGCUUCAACUAUGAGAGAACAGCAACAUCGAGCCUUAAUUUUGGGAAAAAAUUGGGUAUUAAUCAGCCUGUAUAUCUUGUUAUCAUUAUGCAGAAAAAAAUUGAUUACCAUAUGUUUUAACUCAUUUGUGCACUGAGUAUGGCACAAACAAACUAGAAUUGAUGCGCUUGUUCAAGAUGCAAAUAUACUAAUGGAGCAAAUGGAGAAACAACAAUUCAUUCCAGGCAUCAGGAAUGUCAGGAAUACACUAUGAUUGCAAUCAUGCAUCCCAACUUUCUUGAAUUUCUUCUAUAUAUGGAUGUCGAUUUUGAAGGUAUUUAGGUCUAUUCAUGUGAGUUUUCUGUUAUAUUUGAAAGUUUUUAUAAAAAGUAACAUUUAUGAAAUUUGGUGUUAAAUUUUGGCUAUUAAUGAUAAUUACUCCUUGGAGAUUGAAGUCCAUCUUGGAGGAAAUUCGCUGGCUUGCUGGUUUUCUUUUAGGACAUUUGUUGGAAACAUGUCUUUAGGGAAGCCAAGUUUCUGGCAGAUGCUAUAACUAGUAUCGGUUACUCUCUGUUGUUGAUUUUCAUGUAUGGGAUAGAACUCUUCCUUUGGUUACUUGUCAAGCCUUCUUGUUUGAUUGUACCCAAAC
RNAcentral lists this long non-coding RNA (3962 nucleotides) under Malus domestica (apple). RNAcentral describes it as "long non-coding RNA (MDOM_LNC020269)". Lineage: Eukaryota; Viridiplantae; Streptophyta; Magnoliopsida; Rosales; Rosaceae. The record is from RNAcentral.